CCACAUGAAUACACAUUUACAUUAAUUAACCUGAUAUAAACCAAGUUAUUGACAAAACAUAGUUGUUAUGGGUGCCACUGUGACCUGGAGAAAUUACAUAAAUCUUUAUAGUUCUAGGUCUAUGGGAGACAACUCCUGAUCAAUUUUAUUUCCUAUAUAUAUAUAUAUCUAUAUAUAUUUUUCUUCUAUUUUUUUUUUUUUUUUCAAACAACAAUAUUUUCUAUAAUUUUCUUUCGUUCUUCAAAAAGGGAGUGCAAUAAAUUAG
This 265-nucleotide long non-coding RNA is filed under the name Mytilus galloprovincialis (Mediterranean mussel). The record is from RNAcentral. Lineage: Eukaryota; Metazoa; Mollusca; Bivalvia; Mytilida; Mytilidae.